CCCUCUGCUACGGCCCUUAAGUAAUUCUCGCUUUUUUUGUGGAAUCACAAUUAAGGAUUGCCUGAAUGUGAAGAGCAGUGGUUGCAUUCAGUUAUAUCCGUAGCGCUACCUGACAUAUAGGGACGUCCCUAUCGCUGCAUUUGGCAAGCAUCGCCGCGUGACUAAUGGUAAUGCAAUUAAGCUCAAUAUUUCGAAAUGCUUUAGAGCGUUUAUUGUUUAUGGCUUAUGUGUGUCCAAGUGAGGGCUAAUUUCAACUUUAUGAGUGAUACUAGUUCCAUUCCUAAAUGUAUUAUUUUGUGAACACUGCUUUUAUUACUAUUUCAUUCUGUGAGCUGACAGCUACAUAUGUGCAUAAUGUAGCCCGGCCUGGUAGUGUCCAAUGUGGUUAAGGAGAUGAAUGUGUUUCGUGCCGAGAAUUAGAUGGGCCAUCCGUCAUGCCUGCCACCUUGGAUUUGUUCUCGCUCAUAGCCUGUUGAGUAGAGCCGGCGGCGGAAUGUGAGGACUAUAUAAGAAGGGUGAGAUCCAUCAUUUACUCACUUGCCCGGUCUCAUUUCAAGAUCCUCCAGGUUUCUUGCAACUGGCUCUUACUUCCAGGUUCCAGGAUGAAAUUCUUCAUCGCAAUCUUAGUAGUCAUCUUAUCGACGAUCGCUCAGUUGUCGGAAUGCAGAAGCGCAUACGAGGAUUUCAUUAGAGAAGUUGAGGAAUCCCGCCCAGCCAAACGAUGCCUCGGUCACGACGAACCAUGCACCGACUCCUCGCAAUGCUGCCAUCCGUUUCAGUCUCUUUGUAGUCUAGGUGGAGAUGGACGGAGGCUAUGCUAUAUUCCUCUGAGGUAUCAAAAUGACGAAGAAUCCCGCCCAGCCAAACGAUGCCUCGGUCACGACGAACCAUGCACCGACUCCUCGCAAUGCUGCCAUCCGUUUCAGUCUCUUUGUAGUCUAGGUGGAGAUGGACGGAGGCUAUGCUAUAUACCAGAGAGGUACAGAAAUUAAUACCUCUAGCUUACUAAGGAGCAUACAUAUAAACAAUGCAUAAGGCUAAAAAGUUUGGUUUCUUAAUUUGUUCUGUUUUUUUAUUUUCUGUGUGUGUUAAAAUGAUCCAUCAAGUUGUAAAUGCUAACUCAGGUUGUAAUGCCAAUUCAAGUUUUUGUAAUAAAUUUGUUAAGGCAUUGA
Nematostella vectensis (starlet sea anemone) is the source of this 1172-nucleotide long non-coding RNA. RefSeq lists it as uncharacterized. The record is from RefSeq and is a predicted model, not a curated record. NCBI's taxonomy places the organism in Eukaryota, Metazoa, Cnidaria, Anthozoa, Actiniaria, Edwardsiidae. The transcript has 2 exons.